This is a long non-coding RNA of Triticum dicoccoides, 823 nucleotides long. RefSeq lists it as uncharacterized. The transcript is spliced from 3 exons. The record is from RefSeq and is a predicted model, not a curated record. Lineage: Eukaryota; Viridiplantae; Streptophyta; Magnoliopsida; Poales; Poaceae.
GGAAGCGGGCGGCCCCAUUUGGUAGCACGUGAGGCGGGGAGAUCCCUGGCCUUUCCACGGCCCAUCCCCGGGAUAGAUCUCCCGAUGUCGAUAGGUCUGGGAGUAAACCCUCGACUGGCUCGCUCUCCCUGCGACCGGUGGCGACGGCCUCCGCCUCCAGCCUCCACCUCCGUUCGGUGCAUCUCCGUCCGACGACCGGAUAGCGCCGCCCCCCGCGCCCUCCCUCAAGAGAACCGCCUCCACAGUCCGUCCCUCCGGCAGCAGCGACGGCGACGGACCGGGCGUCAUCCAUCUCCCCUCUGCCUCAAAGCUUCUAUCACCUCCGGCGACGACGAUGGCCAAGAGGUCACCCUCCUUUCACCAAGGCGCUGUAUCAUGAGCUAGCAGAGUAUGUGCAUCUGUGCUCCUGCCGCUCCACUUCCAGGUGAUGGCGUCGGGUUGGUCAGAGAGGGUGAAGCUCUCAAGUUCCCGCCAAAGUAUCAGGUUUCCUAAAGAUAGCAAAUAAAAAUGUUCAAAGAAGUUGAUGCUGGAAGUUUCAGUAAAGUAUCUAUUUCAACAGCAAAACUUUUUGCUAUGGACGUGUCACAUAUGGGCAUUUUUUUAAUGGAGCUAAAUGCUUAUUCUUGCUGGAUUUUUAACCGUAGUUAGUAUUUAAAAAAACAUGAUUAGCACAAUAAAUUUUAUCCUCAGUAGUGUUGUGUAAUUUGUGCGACUCGACCGCAUAACUUAUUGUUAGCAUGUAAUUGGGUUGAAGUGUUAAUUUGCUGAUUAUGUGUGUAUUAUUAUUUUCUCCAAAAAAAUCCUGAAUUAUUCUCUAUCUUCC